UACGAAGGGUGCUAGCGUUGUUCGGAAUCACUGGGCGUAAAGCGCACGUAGGCGGAUUUGUAAGUCAGGGGUGAAAUCCCGGGGCUCAACCCCGGAACUGCCUUUGAUACUGCGAAUCUCGAGUCCGAUAGAGGUGGGUGGAAUUCCUAGUGUAGAGGUGAAAUUCGUAGAUAUUAGGAAGAACACCGGCGGCGAAGGCGGCCCACUGGAUCUGUACUGACGCUGAGGUGCGGAAGCGAGGGGAGCUAACAGC
This 253-nucleotide ribosomal RNA is filed under the name uncultured bacterium. RNAcentral describes it as "partial 16S ribosomal RNA". It matches the Rfam family "Bacterial small subunit ribosomal RNA", at positions 524 to 776 of the family's 1533-position model. The record is from RNAcentral.